CGAAUGGAGCGAGCGUUGUUCGGAAUCACUGGGCGUAAAGCGUGCGCAGGCGGUUGUGAAAGUCAGGAGUGAAUCCCAGGGCUCAACCCUGGAAUUGCUCUUGAAACUCCACAACUAGAGUACUGGAGGGUUAGCGGAAUUCCGAGUGUAGCAGUGAAAUGCGUAGAUAUUCGGAGGAACACCAAUGGCGUAGGCAGCUAACUGGACAGUAACUGACGCUCAUGCACGAAAGCGUGGGAUCAAACAGGAUU
RNAcentral lists this ribosomal RNA (251 nucleotides) under uncultured bacterium. Its description in RNAcentral is "partial 16S ribosomal RNA". It matches the Rfam family "Bacterial small subunit ribosomal RNA", at positions 526 to 779 of the family's 1533-position model. The record is from RNAcentral.